UAGGGAAUAUUGCACAAUGAGCGAAAGCUUGAUGCAGCAACGCCGCGUGCGCGAUGACGGCCUUCGGGUUGUAAAGCGCUUUUCGGGGAGAUGAGGAAGGACAGUAUCCCCGGAAUAAGUCUCGGCUAACUACGUGCCAGCAGCCGCGGUAACACGUAGGAGGCAAGCGUUAUCCGAAUUUACUGGGCGUAAAGCGCGUGCAGGCGGAUCGGUAAGUUGGAUGUGAAAUCUCCCGGCUCAACUGGGAGGGGACGUUCAAUACUGUCGGACUUGAGGACGAUAGAGGGAGGUGGAAUUCCCGGUGUAGUGGUGAAAUGCGUAGAUAUCGGGAAGAACACCAAUGGCGAAAGCGGCCUCCUGGAUCGUUACUGACGCUCAGACGCGAAAGCGAGGGGAGCGAACGG
RNAcentral lists this ribosomal RNA (404 nucleotides) under uncultured bacterium. RNAcentral describes it as "bacterial SSU rRNA". It matches the Rfam family "Bacterial small subunit ribosomal RNA", at positions 355 to 775 of the family's 1533-position model. The record is from RNAcentral.